RNAcentral lists this ribosomal RNA (180 nucleotides) under Streptococcus agalactiae. RNAcentral's name for it is "partial 23S ribosomal RNA". It matches the Rfam family "Bacterial large subunit ribosomal RNA", at positions 2749 to 2925 of the family's 2925-position model. The record is from RNAcentral. Lineage: Bacteria; Bacillati; Bacillota; Bacilli; Lactobacillales; Streptococcaceae.
CUAUGUAGGGAAGGGAUAAGCGCUGAAAGCAUCUAAGUGCGAAGCCCACCUCAAGAUGAGAUUUCCCAUGAUUUUAUAUCAGUAAGAGCCCUGAGAGAUGAUCAGGUAGAUAGGUUAGGAGUGUAAUUGUGGUGACACAUUUAGCGGACUAAUACUAAUAGCUCGAGGACUUAUCCAAAA